AAUAUUCUCCUUCUGCCUUGCAUGCAAAGCAGACGAUCCACUCAUUAAAACAAGGCAAAAUGGGACAACUUAAAACAUUUCCUGUCGCUUCAAACAAUUUUUUGUGUCCAUUUAAAGAACUCAAUUUCAGUGAUGCUUUUCUCCCUUGUAAAAUUGCCAUUUAUUGGUGAAUCUUGAAAAUGGCUACAACUUUUCCAACUCUGAAGAUGAACAGUCUGACUUACUGUCUGCUGACUAGGUGAUGGUUUUAUAUUUUUCUUCUAAAUUUUGUAUUAUUAUCUUCAAUAUACUCCUUUUUCAACCGUUCUUCAAUAUUCUCCUUCUGCCCUGCAUGCAAAGCAGACGAUCCACUCAUUAAAACAAGGCAAAAUGGGACAACUUAAAACAUUUCCUGUUGCUUCGAGCAGUUUUUUGUGUCCAUUUAAAGAACUCAAUUUCAGUGAUGCUUUUCUCCCUUGUAAAAUUGCCAUUUAUUGGUGAAUCUUGAAAAUGGCUACAACUUUUCCAACUCUGAAGAUGAACAGUCUGACUUACUAUCUGCUGACCAGGUGAUGGGUCUAUAUUUUUCCUCUAAAUUUUGUAUUAUUAUCUUCAAUCUUCUACUUCUUCAACCGUUCUUCAAUAUUCUCCUUCUGUCCUGCAUGCAAAGCAGACGAUCCACUCACUAAAACAAGGCAAAAUGGGACAACUUAAAACAUUUCCUGUUGCUUCGAGCAGUUUUUUGUGUCCAUUUAAAGAACUCAAUUUCAGUCAUGCUUUUCUCCCUUGUAAAAUUGCCAUUUAUUGGUGAAUCUUGAAAAUGGCUACAACUUUUCCAACUUUGAAGAUGAACAGUCUGACUUACUGUCUGCUGACUAGGUGAUGGUUUAUAUUUUUCCUCUAAAUUUUGUAUUAUUAUCUUCAAUAUACUCCUUUUUCAACCGUUCUUCAAUAUUCUCCUUUUGUCCUGCAUGCAAAGCAGACGAUCCACUCAUUAAAACAAGGCAAAAUGGGACAACUUAAAACAUUUCCUGUUGCUUCAAGCAGUUUUUUGUGUCCAUUUAAACAACUCAAUUUCAGUGAUGCUUUUCUCCCUUGUAAAAUUGCCAUUUAUUGGUGAAUCAUAAAAAUGGCUACAACUUUUCCAAAUCUGAAGAUGAACAGUCUGACUUACUAUCUGCUGACUAGGUGAUGGGUUUAUAUUUUUCCUCUAAAUUUUGUAUUAUUAUCUUCAAUAUACUCCUUUUUCAACCGUUCUUCAAUAUUCUCCUUUUGCCCUGCAUGCAAAGCAGACGAUCCACUCAUUAAAACAAGGCAAAAUGGGACAACUUAAAACAUUUCCUGUUGCUUCGAGCAGUUUUUUGUGUCCAUUUAAAGAACUCAAUUUCAGUGAUGCUUUUCUCCCUUGUAAAAUUGCCAUUUAUUGGUGAAUCUUGAAAAUGGCUACAACUUUUCCAACUUUGAAGAUGAACAGUCUGACUUACUGUCUGCUGACUAGGUGAUGGUUUUAUAUUUUUCUUCUAAAUUUUGUAUUAUUAUCUUCAAUAUACUCCUUUUUCAACCGUUCUUCAAUAUUCUCCUUUUGCCCUGCAUGCAAAUCAGACGAUCCACUCAUUAAAACAAGGCAAAAUGGGACAACUUAAAACAUUUCCUGUUGCUUCGAGCAGUUUUUUGUGUCCAUUUAAAGAACUCAAUUUCAGUCAUGCUUUUCUCCCUUGUAAAAUUGCCAUUUAUUGGUGAAUCUUGAAAAUGGCUACAACUUUUCCAACUUUGAAGAUGAACAGUCUGACUUACUGUCUGCUGACUAGGUGAUGGUUUUAUAUUUUUCUUCUAAAUUUUGUAUUAUUAUCUUCAAUAUACUCCUUUUUCAACCGUUCUUCAAUAUUCUCCUUCUGUCCUGCAUGCAAAGCAGACGAUCCACUCAUUAAAACAAGGCAAAAUGGGACAAUGGACAAGUGAAAACAAUCUAUGGAGACAGUAUGUGCAAUAAAAGGGAAAAUGUCUGGAAAAGUCAGCCAUUUUUUGAAAAAACAAAACUGCCUGCUGCCAAUAUUUUGUUGACCUUUGCAGUUUUGACAGCUGGAGUAACAUGGGAAAAAGUUGAGAGAGUGUUUCGCCACAUAGGAAUGACUCAUAUUUCAAGGUCAGUAUACUUUCAGCAUCAAAAUAUAAUGAGUAGGAUGUUAUAAAAAGCAGGAAAAGAUAUUUCCAGCAGUUUUUUGUUUUGGAAAGAAUAUCAAAAAAAUCAGAUGGAAGAGCUGAAUGGGUGUGAACAUCGUUUGAAAAUGAGCUCAAGAUGGCAGGCAUGAUAGUAUGGGGCACAGUGCUAAAUAUGGGGCAUAUUCCCUGAUUUCUUACAAUCAACCAGCUAUCAUACAUUUCGAACUGGUACAGUUAUGUGAUCCUUCAUGAGUUGAUAUUUAUAAUGUGUACAGCUAGUUUGUACCAAAAUCUUAUAAUGAUCUUGUUCAACAUUUUGUAGCAGGCCUUUUUGGUAUGUGUAUUUAUUGCUGGUAAAGUUCCUUGAAGAGUUCCUUAACUUGGACUGACUGACUAACUAACUUAUUUUUAGAGAAAUGAAGUUGGAAACAACACUGGUCUUGAAUAUGAAGGAUUCAAAAGAUGCUUCAACUGGUUGAAGAAACACAACUCGAAACUGAAACCUUUGUUUCUGACAGGCAUGCCACCAUUGCCAAACACAUGAGAGAAGAAGAAAGAAAGAUAAAACGUUAUUUUCAUCUUUGGCAUCUUAAAUAUAUGUCUCCAUAAACAUACAAUUAGCCAAUACUGUCUGCUCCAUCUAUCAAAGCAUAUUUGACAAGUGUCAAGAAACGUUUUUUGUUGCCUAGACACAUCUAAUUAUGACAUUUUGGAAAAAGUUAAUAAAACCUACAUGAGAGAUAAAACCAGGACAAAAAACAGGCUGGAAAACUAUUAGAUAUUCUAAUUUUACAGCAAAGUAACAAAAGUAGUAAUAUCAAAUAAAAAGAAUUGCUAAAAGCAAUGUUUCAGAGAUUUUAGCUUGCUUUGUUAGUUUGAAAUUAAAGAAAUUAAAGGUUUUAAUUUAUAGUCAAUUCCUUUUAGAAAUAAGACUCUUGACAAAAUUGCAAAAACUGUAGGCUGUUCUGGAGUUUCUGACUGGAUUCAGCCCUGCAUCAACCACCUGCAUUGGAGUGCAGUCACAACACAAGGUGGUGAUGGAGCCUUGAUAAUGACAAUGUUCAAAUCCUUUUGAUCGCAUAUUAUUGAAGUACAUGAUAAGUGACAGAACAUGGCUUGAUAAAGGUAUUGCAGUCAUUUAUUGUUUUCAAAUAUUUGGGGUAUCCAUUUCCAGUAUAUCUAUCCAACACCCCCCUCCCACCACCAAUUAGAAGCUCAAAUGCUGGAUUCAAACGAAGUUUGAACAUCAUAUUUAUUUCCAUUUUCACUUAGUUGGUUUAUUUUUUUGCAUUUACUGAUUCUUCCCCAUCUAUAUUCCCUGCUUCUGAACAUGCCUGCUUUUCUAAUCUUCUUAUUGAAUUUGACUGAUAAAGAAAUUGUUUCUUCUUCAUUUAAGAAUCUCCGGCAUAUAAAAAAUUGAAAGCUGCAUUGACGAAUACAAGAUUGAUGAAUGGAAUCAAACAGGCAGAACCUCUCACACAAACUAGUUGCAUAGUGGCAUUCCACUCAGUCCUGAACCAUUUUGCACCAAAAAUGAUAGGUUUCUCUUAUGACGGGUUUCCACUUUGGCGAAUCUGGUCACACGAUCGCAUGACUGUUCUGGGCAUGCACAAGUAAACCAGUAGCAGUGAUUCCCCAUUGCCCUGGCGAUCGCGCGACUGCUUUUGGGAGUUGAAUAGAUUUUGACUUUUCUGCGACCAGAUUCUCACGAACCAAUUAGACGCUUUGUUUACUUGUCUGGUUUAUGUAAAAUGCCUCAUUGUUUAAGGUUUAUUGUUUUCUUUGGCGCUUAUCCAAAAAAUCAACUCCACGAUCUUCUACGCUGAGAAAAAGUAUCUUGAAAAAGUAUGGAAAAAAUAACAAUUAAGCCAGAAGUCAUGUUGAUUUUACGCCAGUUUCAGCAAAGUCAAUCUCCUACAAAAAAUUCAAAUUAUCUUGCGUUUGAAAAUGAAAGCACGGGCGAUACAAUUGUCGAGGAAGAGACGGAAUCUCAGACGGAAUGGUCUGAAAAUUAUUUAUUGAGGAACUUAAACAAUAUCGUUGUUUUCACAUUUUCACAGAGAAAUCAAAGUUAAAUUCUAGGAAUCUUAGGAAUACAUCAACUGACCUAAGGCUACCAAAGAAAAACUCCAAAAAUGGACAGAAAUGCUUUUCGUUUAGAGGUGCUAGGUCUUGGAAUGGCCUUUCAGCUGAGUGUAAACAGGCAUCUUCCUUGACCAACUUCAAAAGAAUUUUGCGAAAUUGUUAAUAGGCGUAAUUGUAAAUUGUAUAUUGGAAAUUACCAUUUCGCCUUUCGUUAUAGAUAUUUGUAGUAAAAUUAAACUCAAGUAAAAUAGGAUUUUUUUAGAUGGUAAAUAUUGAAUUGUAAUUAGCCUAAUUAGUUUUUAUAAUAAUUUCUGUAAGUAUUUUAAGUGGAGGGCCCCUUGAAAAUCAGCAUUGCUGAAGGGCUACCCUCCUUAAACAUUUGAAAUGAAAUGUAAUAAAAUGUUUCUGGGAUACUUCAUGCCGUUCUUAUAAAGGUGGCCCUAAAAAGCAGCAAUCUUGGCAGGAACUGAGUCAGAAAUUUGAAAAAGAGGGUAACUUUUGAUUUUUUUCUUCAAUUUUCAUGACAUGUUUAGGCCUACUCUACACAAUGUAAAAUCGUACUUCCUUCUGCAUUUCAUCAGUUUUCACAGCCUUUUGGCUCCCUUCCUUUGUCAUCGUUUGUAUUUUGUUUUCAAUGUGUGUUUCUGGCUCACUAACAUUGAAUUUUAAUGACAAACAUACUUUGCAGCAUCUAUUAUACAUACAUACAUACAUACUAUCACUAAAAGAUCGAAAACGUCGAUAUUGAGUUCUAAGGAUUUGCAUUUUUUCGAAUUCUGAUUAAUUUGGAAUUCUGAUUUUCCGAGGACACCUUAUAGAAAGUUUGGAAAAAUCUGAAUGGUUCUUCCUGAGAGUCCUCAGGAAAAAUGGUUCUUCCUGAGAGUCCUGCCAGCAGGACCCACCCCAGUAGGAGGUAGUAGAUCCAAAUCAAACUCCGGAAAAAGGAAAUUGAAAAACCUUUAUCGAUUCCUAUUAUGCCAUGCUAAUUGAAGCCCUGAAGGAUGAUGGUGUACCAAAGGCAAAGGUGUUUGAUGCAGACGCUAGCUUUGCAGAAACAUUGUACCAAUUUUGAAGAAGCUCCCAGACAAGCAGAACAGACAAGCAGAACAGACAAGCAAAAAUCAAAAUACAACAAAUUCUUCAAACAUGUAGAAAAUAAUUUUCUCACGUCAUCUUAGUCCUCGUUAUUAACAAAUAUAUUUAUUUCUAUGCAUCAUUUAUAUAUAAAUUAGGCUGGUUCUCCGAAAAUUUAAGUCUUUUCAUUGAAGCUGUCCUGUCUGUCCCUUGCAUAGAAAUGGGCCUAAGUAAGGCUACAUUACUUGAAAACUUGAAAAAUAUUUAUGCUGAAUAUUGCUCACCAUUGGUCUAAAGAAAUAGCCAAUUUCAAGUGCUUUUCGAAUUCAUGGUACCUCUUCUGAUUAGAUACCUUUUAGCUCGAUAGUUUCGCAACCAUUCCUCCUCAGCUAGUGGUUCAUCAGCAUACUGCUCAACCCAGUCGGGAUCACUGAAACUGUUGAUUUCAGAGGUUGUAAUUGGGCCAGAGAUGUCCAUAUAUUCGACCUCAGACUGUAAGAAUGUUGUUAGUUGUGCAACUGUUGUUACAUAGAGUAGAUACAAGGUGCCCAUGAGGUGACAACGAGAUUAUUUCACAAAUGGCUUGAUAGUGCUUUUCCAGUUUUUUUUACAACUGCUACACAGUUUUUCACUGUAAGUCAGUCGCACUAUUUCAUCUACACCUGGUUGUGUCAGCCAGUGGUCACAUUGGAAAGGGUGGCCUAGGCCAAGGUAGGCAAGAAAUCACGACAAUGGUAGUAACAAAUUGCUUCCAAUCUUAUCCAAAGAGGAUCAUCAAUUUAAUCAGACAAAUCCAAAGCAUACUAAUAAUCAAAUUUUUCAAAAUUCUAAUAACUCAAAAAUGACAAUUGCAGUUGCCUUUCCAGAAAGCAGCGAUUGGUGUUGUUUUGUGCUACGGAAUCAAUGAAAUUUGGUUCUAGUUUCCACCUCACGAGCAAUUACCCAGGUCUCAAGAGACAAACACGGUUUAGUGCAAAUUUGAGCCCCAUUUGGUGGUGGUUUUACUUUUUUUCUAAAGGCCUGAUGAAAUUUUAAUGGCUGUAUCCGUAAUUAGCAUGUUCUAAUUGUACAUUAAGCCUAUUUUUAGAUUCGACCAUAGUUCCACUUUAAAAGAAAAAAGGAACCUGAUUUGAACAUUCAAUACUCAUAGGGUAUAAAUAAUAUGAUUUACAAAAAGAAAAUAGAAUAAUCCUCAUCAAUAUUGGCCGGAAAAGUCCAUCUGGUUGUGGGAAUGGGGAAGGCAGCAGUUUGUGGCAAACUUCCAGUGAUAGCAAGCUCAGGUCGUGUAAGCUGUCGGAGGAAAGUUGUUUAUGGUUGUUUGCAGUUUCUCCAUCAUUUUCAUUUUUUAGCAUCCGCUUCCUGUAUCUGUGAAGCAAUUUCUGUAAACACCGCCUGGCCUGUUUAGAUAACCUCUUUUUGAAAUAUAUAUAACGAGUUCCGAUGGCUGGAAGGCCACCAAAUUUUCGUGACUUUGAUUCUUGAAACUCCGAUUGGCUAAGAUUGUCUUCUGGUAAAGAGUUGUUCAGCAGAUUGCUAUUUUCAGUUAUAUACUUGUCACUAGCUCUACCAUUCCCACCAUUAGUGAUGAAUAAAAUUACACCUUGGGGCAGAUGCUAAUUAUAAAUUUGACAGUGUUGUGAUGUUUAUAUGAUAACCAAAUUUAGACAUGAGCUUUGAGGUUAGAUAUUAAAUUUAAAACUCAAAGCAAUCCAAUAUAACUGCAAUUUUUGUCUUAAAUAAUCUGCAAAAAUAGGGUUCCUUCAAUAAGUUGAUCUCUCUCAGGUUAUUUUAUCAUAUUCUUUAUUCUGUAAAAUGGGACAUCUAUCUAUUUGUGAAAUACCUUUGACACUACUCCAUUUGAUAUAUAAAAACCUGUAAGCAACAUCUUUCGCAUUAAGCUUCAUCCAAUGUUUGCUCAGAGUAAGGUUCGUUUCUUGAAAGCGAGCUAAAGCAGCAUUUGCACUAACUGUUAUUACUUGUAAACAAAAUUUAAAAAGUAGCACGAGGAACUUCUGAUUUGUAAGCCCUGUGUAUAAAAGGGCCUUUUAGUCAGAGUUUUAGUCAGGUUUCUAAAUUCCCUUUUGUGUUGUUCUAGCCACGAUGACGUUUUUGUCUUUGUAAUCUGCAAAACUUUCAAUUGAAGAUUGCUUUCUCUUACCUGGACCUUUGCAGGUAUCAACAGAAAUUAUUUCAGGAGAAGAAGGGAGGAAAGUUAGAGGACAGAAAUGCUAGUUUUGCGACUGAAUGGCACAACCUCAAUAGAGUUCUAAAGUGUGACGUCACCAAAAACCUAUUUUUAGAAUUUUUGAAUUUUCCCACAUAACAUAAAAGAUCACCAUGAAAUAAUUCCAGGUAUGCAAAAUUAGUCAAAUUUGUCCAAAAUCAGUUGAGAUAUUGCAAAUUAAAGAUUUGAAGUUUGCUAACGAAUCACUGAUACUUUUGCUCUUUUCAUAAAGUUAUGAACAGAGACCAAAAUACAGAGGUUUAAUUGGGAAAGAGCUAAUACACAUGUGGCCAUAUCUCAGCCGAUUCGUAACACAUUUGGCUGAUUGUGCAUAUUUAGAGGUAUUUCAUGAUGCUCUUUCAGGCUAUUUGAGCCAAAUUCAAAAAUUGUAAAAAUAGAUUUUUAAGACAUCAUCACUUUAGAACUAUAAAAAGCAUUGGUAAGGAUUCGUCUUUCAAAAAUAGUAUGUAGCUAGUUUCACUCAUUCAACUUGAAUGAUUGUUUUCAUGACUUACCCAUAGCCCUUUGCUUGCAACAGAUUUCGGAGAAACUUGAGAUGGGCUUAGUGUCUAUGGCUACCGUAAAGUUACGACACACUUGCAGCAGAUCACGUUAUAUAAUAAAUCAGGCUAAAGUUCAACAUUACUGACUAAAAAUUAAGUUGACCCAUGGGGCUUAUUAAUUUGCAAUGUUUUUGCAACAUAAAAAUUGUGUUGUGGUGAAUAUGCUUUGUUUGUUUUAGUUUCUUGUUUAUAGAUGUUCAUUGGCUUAAUCAUGCAUUGUAAAAUUUAACAUGUAGGGGUAGGUUUCUUUUACUUCCUAGUAGGGGCUAAUUGGAUGGGGCAUAUACAGGGGGGGGGGGCAAUUCGAUUAUAUUAUUAGAUCUCUCUGAAUUUUUGUGAGCACUUAAACUGGAUAAUUUUUUGCUGGCAAAGGAAAUAUAAAAAUAAUAAAAACAAUAAUAAAAGCUUUGCCAUUUUCAGAGGUUUAUCAAAUAUUUGUAUCCACAACUCAAUUAAGAAACAAACAAAAAAGGCAGAGGGUAGACACUAUUAAAACGUUUUCUGUCUGUACCACCAAUUUUAUAAUACUUUAUUGUUAACUUUUCACUUUUACUUCAUCUGAGGUGCAAGUUUGGUAAUUGCAAUUUGAUUCGACUUGCAAAACCAAAAGAAUGUUGCUGUUGCAGUGACCUUGCGGCUGUCAAUGUUUGUCUUUCAGACAAAUAAAUUCUGGCAGAUCUCAAUGAUGUACCAAAAUGUGUAACUGAGCACCCAGCAUUUGAACCAGUAAUUCUUGGUAAAUGGUCUCUAAGGCAGGCAGCAGAUCGAUACAGGACAAGAGCAAAAAGCCAUUACAAAAACACUUGUGAUGAAAAUUAAUUUCUUCGUGCUAUCUCCUAUAGAGAACAAGGCUGGUGCAUGGCAGCAUAGGAAACAAAAGAAUCCCUCUCCCAGCCUGUGCUUACAACAAAAUCAGGCAGAAAUUUCCUUCUGAAGAGAUGACAGGCCAUGAGUCUGAUAGUGACUGAGUGGCAGACAACGUUAUUUUACAUUUUUAACCAAAGUUUGGUAAAGGUCUGUAAGAUCAAUCAGACAAUGUAAGCUGCUUCAACACUCUUUGAUGAUUUAUGGUCAAGACAAAAAAAGAAUUGAGUUCCGCAUAAAAGCAAACUUAUGUUACCUGAAAGGCAAACCACUUCUGAGUUAGUUUUAGCAAAAUCCAGCUUUUUUCUGACUCAGUUAAGGGAUUUAUUUACUGUUUUUUGGACAUGUCAAAAUGUUUUGGUGACCUCUCAUUGAGUUAUGAUAGAUAGAACAUUGAGGGGGUGCGCGCCGAUUUUGCUGUUGUUUCUGGCUCGCUUCAUCAACUGAAAAGAUAGAAAAAGAACGAUUCAUAUAGUUAGAGCUUUCAUUGAUUAUCAUGGUAAAAUGUUAAAAAUAUGGUUGAAAUCUGCUUUCACAAAUAAAGCAAAUUUUGUACCGUGUGUUGUUGGAGCCGGAACAGUCACUGCUGAUUAUUGGGCAAAAUGCUUCUCAAUGGCAGCGAACCUAUCUUCCUUUCUUAUUGUUGCAGACAUUGUAUCAGGGGCAAGUUUAUUUGAAUGUUCAACUGUAGCAUCCAGGUUGUUAGCAGCUAUGGCAUCCACUAAUGUCUCAUAAAUAUCAGGGAGGUAAUCUAUGUUUGGGAAUACAAUGGCAGUACUAAACUAUUGUGUUACCUAUUUUCAUUGCUGAUUCUAUUGUUUGAGUGUAUUCUGGAUUUUCAAAUAUAAUUAAUGAAUUAUUCCAAAUUGAGAUAUGACUAUUCAAUGAAUAUACAGAAUUAUAUGCUAGUGAUCUUCAAAUGCUCAUACCAAAUCUUUGUUUCACUUUGACUUCCUUGACAGUUGCUUCUCUAUUAUUGAAUUUUGGGUAGGUGACCUUAACUUGCGGUGUACCAGAUCCAUCCUGUGUUGUUCGUACAUCACCUGCAAGUUUAAAUUGAAGUGAACAAUGGCCAAAAUAUGUCUUAAUAAUAUAAGAAUAUUUAAGCGAACGAAAGGGUAUAAAUAAUGAUCAUGCCACUUUAAUUAUCUCAACACAUUCUUGAAAAGUGAUAUAUCACAAGGUUAAAUAUAUGUGUUUAAUUCAACCUACCUAAUCAACAUUCCUGUAUAACUAAAAGCAAUCAUUUUUAGAGCAAAAUUGUUCAAUACUGAGGGAAACUCUCGAGUGCACUGGUCUGCAAAAAUGGAGAUGCCUGUUUGAUCCCAUUUUGAAGGCUCUUCUUGGUCAAGACCUGCCUCAGCUUUCCAUAUACAAUUGUAUCUGUCCUGUAGAGAGGUAGUGCAUAAAAACAUGCACAUGUGUCAAAUUUUUGUAUAUUAAUCAUAUGGUAAUAUCUAAUAGAAAAACAAGUUGGCAAUAUAAGUAUGCUAUCUAAUAUAGGAAGAUUUACCCUUCAAGCAGUCAAAGUAACUUGUUUAAUAUCUUCUAGGGGAGAGCCUAGUGUCUGUAUUAGAUUCCUUUAAGGGAAAAGAAAGAUAAAAAACAGUUACCAUAUUUGACAAGUUUUUGGUAUAAUUUCUCUAGGUAGACAAAACAAGACCAAAUCAAACAUUUUACCUUUUUCUAGCCAUUUUCUCUCUUCAAUGUCGUCUCCAUGUGCACAAUAGUCAAAAGUGGAUCUUCAAAACCAGUAUGCUCAUCCAAAAUGUUCCAAAGGAAUGAAACAAAUUUUGCCCAGAUGAUAUCUCCAUUGCCAUCAUGUGUUGAUGUAGCACUACAGUACAAAUGCCUUUCGCAAGCUUUGAUCCAGUCUGCUCCAUUACAUUUGAUCCAUGACAAGUCUCCACAGUCUUUGGUAUUUUAAAUGCGAAGAAGAAUCUUUCAAAUUUUUUAACAUAAAUGAGAAGAUUCCUUAAGUUCAAUUAGCAAUUAUUGUCUUAUGUUCAAGGAAAAGGCUAGGGUUGCUGAACUACAAUAUAAUAUUUACUUUGCAUUAAGUGGACUAAUUGAGGAUUAACGGUGGAGUGAGAUUGGCUUAUUUGGCAAUGGAAAUUAGCAUAAUCAUAAAGCAACUUGGACUGGAAAAAUCAUUCUGCAUAGAGACCAUUAUUGCACAGAGUGUUGGACUCUAGUGACCAAUUUGCAAAUAAUCUCUAAACAACACCUACUUUUUUUAAAUGCCAAAUACCAAAAUAAUGGGAGACAUCUUUUCGCUCCUCUCUGAAGUAUUUUGCGAUAGACAAGUGUCUGUCAGAGAUGAAUGUUGUCACAUCAAGUCCAUUGUUCUCUAGAAACUGAAAGCUUCGCUUGAAGCCCUCCAGCUCCAUGGCAGUACUACUUCCAACCUCAAUGUGCUUUUAUUGAGUAUAAAAGAUAAAUACUGUGGAUAAAAGAAAACAUCAGAAAUUAAAAAUUAGCUUUUAUGUUAAAAUGUUAUAAUGAGCUGUGAUGUAUUUUGUUGUUAUCAAAGAGGAAACUGAAUCAGUUAAUGUAUAAAUGAUGAAAUAAAGAAUUUACCACAAAUUUUAUGAUUUUAAUUAUUUUAUACUCACAGAAUAGUUGAUAGUCAUUGAACCAUAUAGUCAAAGUUUUCUGUGAACACCAUUUGUUAGAAUCAAGAAAAAGAAAGAUACCUGAACAAGAGAAACGUGUAUGAUUUGUGAUGUAUUGCAGCAGAAUAGGCUGUAAGCUCCAAACUUGGCACUAUGACCCAUACUGUCAUGCCUUCCAUCCCCAGAAACCACCAGUUGUUCUCCAGAUUCUGUUUAUGAUGAAACCAUUCUCUUUUUGGGUAUCUAUCCAGUAUUGGUAGACCACUGGGAAAAGCCAGUCCUAAAAAGUGAAGGGGGACAUUGUUUCUUUUUAAACCACCUCACGUUCUUGCAAGUUAUUGCAUUUCGUUUCUACACACAAACAGCUUGUCAUCCAAAUGUAAACAGUGAGCAGGUUUUUAAAAAUGUAAAUACUGUUCACCUUUUGAUGUUUGAAAAAUGUUGAUAACGAGAUGCAGACAAGACCCAUAUGAUUAAAGAUGUGUGGAACCUUAGUAGCUGAACCACCACCAACAAGUAUUGCAAAAAAUAAAAGGAGGUUUGCAGCAGGAAUCUUUGUGCAAGGAAAAAGGAGUUGACUUUGCCUUUUUUUUCAUUUCCUAAACAGUCUUCAUUCUGACAAACAGUCUUCACCUCAAUCAUAGUUCCAACUCUCUGCAUGGUAGUUUUUGGGUCAUCUGAUUUGCACAGAGGGCAGAAUCUGAACAGAAGAAGAAGCUGCGAUAAGAAGACAAUAAAUUUGGGUUCCUUUUGAUGAUCAGAUUUCUCCUCACUGAAAAAUGAAACAAAAUCCAGAUGAGCUGAAGAGUGAGGAAUGGUUACAUUGCAACAUUUGCUCUGAUAAGUACUGAAAAAAUCUACCUUUAUAACACAAUGUUUGGACCAGCAUUUAAUAAUAUUCCCCAGAUUUUAGGAUUUUGAAAAAUCUUGAUGUUUUGCCUUUCAAGCUCUUAAAAAGACUGAUUGAAAUCAAAUUCAUAUCAUUUUACAACCUUAUGUCAUCAUCACUUCCCAUCAUAUCCAACAGCUUGGGACUCUGUUUCUUCCUCGACGUCAAAAUCGUCCUCUGAUUCAGAGAUAUCCUCCAUUGAUUACACUGGUGACUCUAAAUUGGCAAAAGACGCGCACUAAGAUCUGUCGGCAUUUCUGACCUCUUCAACUUCAAUAAUAUUCCUAAAAAUGAAAAAUUCCAGUCUUGUUGAAACCAGGCAAUAUAAAUUUUCAUAAUUUGUUAUUGCAAAAAAGGCUAAUAAUUGUUGCAGAUGUAUUUAAAAUAUCUUUAUCCCAGCAAAUAAUUAUAUUAAUUUUUAUCUUGGAAGUUGCUAUUUUCAUUAUCUUCUCACUCAAAGCAAAUAUUGAUCCUAAUCAUUUUGCAUUUAUUGAUACUAGUUUUUCUUUACUUACCAUUUUUAGUCUCAAUUUCUUCCUUAAGUUUAUGAACUUCAGACUUCUUGGCUAUCCACAUGUUGCGUGUUCUCCUGUGUCUGCUCAAAAGCCAUUUACAACUUACACAACCAGGCGUCUGACUUGCAAAAUCCUCCAUCUAUAAAAAGAGGAAGUCUACAUGUAAAUGUAAUAAUUCAAAGCAUUGUGCUUGGCAUAUAUUGUCAUUUCGACUUCUAGUGAAAGAAUUUCAGUCCAAGAGGUCACAUAUGAAGCAACGCAAGUCAUAAAAUCGUCAAAAAUCACCUCUGGUAAUUCAUUCAAACAUGCAUGCAUACACAAAGACAAACAUUCAUUUCUGUAGGUUAACUUCUCAACAACAAAAUAUCCACCUUGGUGCUAUUUCCAUCCUGUGCUAGAUUGUUUGAUUAUCAUGUUCUAUGUAUUCAUCUUCGGUAUUAUUAUCAUCAUCCUCAUCAUCACCAUCAAAGUCCUCUUCUUGUUCCUUGUUGGCUUUUUUCAUUGCAUUUCUAAUGAACUGCAAGAGAAAAAAGAAAGAUUAUUUCAAAACUUGAAGUAAUUUAGCCAAGAGUUACACUAGAAUCUAGAAAGAAGCAUGCUGACAAUGUUAAUGCUAAGGGUUUACUGAACCAUGCCAAAAAAAUAAAUUCCUGCUCAAGCAUAACAUGAAUUUAACAAUGUUUUUUUGAAGUUUUACCAAAUUUGUAGCUGUAUCCUUUGAAAAACUAUCAAAAUACUGACAGCUUCUAUCCAAAAUUAGAGUCACCCUGCUGAUAGGAUACCAUUUUAAUUUUUUGGGGGAGGUUCUGCCAAAUUCAUUCCAUAUUAGAAGAGCUCAAAAAUUCAAAUAAAGAAAUUUUGCAAUUGAAACACACUAAGUAUAGCUUUAGUGCUAAUAUUAACUAUAAAUAUUUGAUGGACUGCAAAUAUUGGCAUGAAUCUAACAUAUGCUUUUGUAAACAUUUUUUUAUACAGAUUAUAGAACAUUUUUAUCAAGAUAUGGAAUACUUGUACCGUGUGCCAAAGUGUACGAUGAGUAAAAUUAUCCCAGAGACGUGUGAGGCUAUAUAUGAAAGUCUGAAAGACGAUUACUUAAGGGUAACAUAAAACGUCUGAAAGACGUUACGAUAAGCUUAGUUAUUGAAUUUUUUCAAGAGAAAGUCUUUCUGUUUCCCAAAAAGGUUUUUAAGAAGAUUUUGAUGGUUUUUAUGACCAUUUGUAAUUCUCUUAUAUUGUGGGAUUUGAUCUCCUAAAGACUUGCUAGAUUCUGCUGUACUUAAUUCAUUUAAACAGAAAACACAUUAUUUGUAGGCUACAAAAUAAGUUAAAUUCUUUUUCAUCCAUUAGACACUGGCAGGAAAGUGCUACGGUUUGGUGUUAUACCCACAGAGAACUUGCCAGAGAAGUUCCACCCAUUGAAGCCGAUCAAAGAAUACAAACAUACAAGUGUAGUUCAAGACCGAGUGGUGGAACAGGCAAAAACUGAUUUGUACCAAAGUUUGGAAGAAAAAGUAAAAAGGGCUGCUAAACUUAAGAUUCCAGCUUGGCAACAAGAGUCAGUGAGUAACCAGCUGAGACUAAAGUUCUUUGAAGAAGAAUGUAUGAUUCCAAAAUUUGAAUUGGUAAUUGGCAACAAUUUGACAUACACAUUAUUCAUCUAUGGUUGGCUGCUGCCACAAGGUCAUCCAAUUUACACUGAAUCUGAACAAAAUUUGAAAAAUAUUACUGUCUCAAAGCUGAUUCGAAAGAUUGAGCAGCAUAAGAUAUGUGGGGGCAUUGCAAAACCUUCAAGUGAGUUACAGGCUCCUGCUAUUCCUUACAAAGUCAGUUUGCAAGAAAAAUCCAACCUUCCAGUGAACACAGUCAUAUACAACAGGCCAAAAGAUUGCUUCAUUCUGAGUGAAUCUUCAGAUCAAUGCAAGAUAUGCUUAACAGUUGAAAGGAAGCUUACCAAAGUAUUGGACAAAAAAACAACUAAGUUGUGUAUCCCUGCAAAGGCUAAAGGUCCAGUAUCCAUCACUCACCCAAGCCGUCUCAAAUUAACCCUUCAGGAACAUAGACUUAAAUGCAGUCAAUUGCAAAAACAAAUUGAUGAAAUGAGGCUGUCAAUAUAAUUAAACAGUUUUUCACUUGAUUCUGAAUUAGACCAAGAUGUGAAGCUUAUUAUUUCAAAUGCCGGGACAAAGCUUUCACCAUUUAUGAAGCUUUUUUGGGAGCAGCAACAAGAAGCUUUCAAUGUAAGAACAAUGCUAUUCGCUAUCACCCAAUGAUAAUAAGAUUUUGUCUGUCCUUGGCAGCAAAAUCAGCCUCAGCCUAUGAUGAAUUGAGGGAUUCAAAUGUGCUGACCUUGCCAAGUAGGAGGACUUUGCGAGACUAUAGGAAUGCAAUAACUCCUACAGCAGGAUUCAAUCCUAGUGUGAUAGAGGAGCUUACCAGAAUAACACGUAAUCUUGAAGGGGUUCAAAGAUAUGUGGUUCUUGGUUUUGACGAAAUGAAAGUGCAGUCAAAGUUAGUAUUUGAUAAACAUACUGGAUAACUGAUUGGUUAUGUGGACCUUGGUUAUCCAGAGAUCAAUUUUGCCACAAUUGAGAAGCAAGAUAACCUAGCUACUCAUGCCUUGGUAAUUUAUGUCAGAGGCCUUGCAUCUGACCUCAAAUACAACCUGGCAUAUUUUGCUACAAGUGGUGUAGCCUCAUACCAGCUCAUGCCUAUUUUCUGGAAAGCUGUUUCUGUUUUGGAAUAGGCCUGCAAGCUACCAGUAAUUGCUUCAGUAUCAGAUGGAGCUUCUCCAAACAGAAAAUUUUUCCGCAUGCAUGCCACUAUGGACCAAACCCCUGGGAAACCAGUGGUUUAUCGAUCCAUCAAUAUUUUUGCACCCAAACGAUUUCUAUGGUUUUUUGCUGAUGCCCCACACCUCCUCAAGACCGCCCGUAACUGCCUGUAUCAUUCUGGCACAGGAAAAUCUACACGUUACACGUGGAACAAUGGAAAGUACCUUCUUUAGCAACACAUAUGCCAGUUGGUAAAUGAUGAUAUGGACAAAGGUUUGAAGCUUUGUUCAAAGUUGUCAAGUUCACACACACAGCUAACCUCCUUUGGGGUAAUGAAUGUGUCAUUAGCUGCACAAGUUUUAAGUGCAACUACAGCAAACACACUUAAACAAUUUUAUGACAGUGACACACAUGGGACGGCAGAAUUUUGCAAAAUGAUGGACAUGUUCUUUGAUGCACUCAAUGUCCGAAGCACUAAGGAAGGUCAAUUUAAGCGGAAGGAGUUCCUACAGCCUUACACCAGUUUAAAUGAUGAGCGGUUUCACUGGCUUGAAAAUGUAUUUUUGAAAUAAUUGUCAGAUUGGAAAGCAAGCACCAUAUGCAGAGAUGGCAAUUUCAGUGGAAGCGCGAGGGACAAAAUGUUUCUGUCUUGGCAAACACACGAAGGCUUGCAGAUCGCUGUGUAUUCAGUCAUUGAAGCCACUAGGUUCCUUCUAACCAGUGGAAUGAAGUUUGUUCUCACCAGCCGCUUUAACCAGGAUGUUGUUGAAGAAUAUUUCAGUAGACAACGCUUUCUGGGUCGUCGUAGUGACAAUCCAGAUAUGCGAAUGUUGGGGUACAAUGAUAACACAAUCAGAAUACAAAGGUCAAUCGUACGUGUUAAAGGAAACACAAGAGGAGGACAUAUCCAAAAAAGACAAGUCUCAUGGUCAAUUGUAGAUGAAACAAAAUUAGCUAAAAGAAAACCUAAGUCCAGCUAGAUAAUGACACUUAAAUUAACUAAAAGAGAAACCACAGUUUAAUGCAACUAGUCUUGUUUAACAUACACCAGUACUAGAUAAUGUAGUUUUUUUACUGUUAAAAGAUUUUGUUGGGAAUUGCUCUGAAAAACCACAUAUCAUCAGAUUUUCUGAAACAAUUCGAUUUUAAAAUGUUAUAAUUUCAAAAUUCUCUCAGCUUUGACCUGCACCUAUCAUUGCUACAUGAAACUUGGCUCCAAGAGAAUUAUAAGAUAACAUUAAUAUUCUAAGUAACAUAUAAAACACUGAACAUUUUAGCAUCUUGAUACACCAAUAUCUGAUACACCAAUAUAUUUUCCUGCAAAACACUUUGCAGUAACAGCAUUGACAAAUUUCCUUCAAGGAGCUACAUUUAGGCUGAUUUCAACUGAAUAGUUUUUGGCAUAUAAGGUAAUUUAAGUUCUCUUUCACCAAGUAUUUAAACUGCACAAGUGACAUAGGCUGCCAUUACAAUUAUGUUUUGGUGCUUUGAAAACUGUGCAAGGGAUCACAUGUUUUGACAAAAAUCAUAAUUUGAUGAUUGCCCUUUGGAGAUCUAUUUUUUUCUGAUGGAAUGUAUGUAAAGUGGAGUGUAUUAAAAGUUAUUAAAUUAUAUUGGAUUAGAAGUUAUUACUACCCCUGUAAUUCCAAAUAUUUACGUAAUGCUUUGGAUUUUUUGCAAUGAAGUUGUAUGUUGGUUUUUGCAAAUGAAAAUGCCCUAACUCGCAAGUACAGCUGAAUAAGUUUUUCAAGGAGAUUCUUCUUUGUCUCUUUGUCCAUUUCACACAGGGAUCCUUCCUCCAUGGCACUGAAAGAACUGACCACAUCAACUCUUUCAACUAAAAUUUCUGUCAGCUUGUUGCAGUUGAUCUUGGUGAUGUGUCCAGAUUCUGUUGCCUUGCGGAACUCUUCUUCUACAUAGCUGAAAAACCUACAAAAUCAUUGUUCACUCCCCAUAAACCCCCUCUUGUUUGGCAUUGUAUUUGCUGUUGAGCUGAAAUAUCUUCCAGUCUCAAUGAAUUCAAAAAUGUUAACAUAGCUAUAGAGAUUUUGAUUUUUGGCUGUUUGAGACUUGGUGCAGUUUCUUAACAACAGAAUCCACAACAUAUCCUGCCAGAUAUUGUAAACCGAACAUCUCCUGUUCAGUGAUUUUCUUUGGGACUGCUAGUUGCUCUGCUAGUUGUCUUGAAAUGGGAGACAAUCUUGUCUGCUAGUUUAGUUGCAACCAGUGUGCACCCAGGAAAGGGUAAAUUUGGGAAAAACUUUUCAGCAUUCAUUGCAACUGAACCAUAAUACUCAGAAUAAAAUUUCUCGGCAUCUGAAUUUUUCCAAAGUCUGCUGCAAUGUUUCAACAAUUCCGUUCUUAGGUUUUCACUUUCUUUGUCAAACACAAACAUUUUAAUAGCAUUGCGAAGUUCAACUGGAUAGCAUUUAUCAGUCGCAAGGUCAUUCUUGGCUUCAUUGACCAACUGAACGAUGUCUGCACCACUGAAUUGUCCAAACUUAAAGAAAAACCGAAAGUCAAAUUUUGAAUAAUUAGCAUACGAUCAGUGUCAGAUUAGCAGGGAAUCUAGGUUGCUACGAAACUAGGUCUCUUUCCAUAUCUUCCAGUUUUUAUUUGCAACUAAUGCGAGCUAAGUUUCAAUUUUUCAAGUUUUGAAAUCUAUAACAAAGUCUUAGUAUUUCUCAAAUUUUAAGAUGCUUUUAGAUAGUUAAUAUGUACGUGGCCUUUUCUUGUUGCUAAUAUGACCUUAAGGUUUUCCAUUGGUUUGGACACGUAUCUGUCAAUACAUUCUGUAUAAUAUAUUUUGGUAACUAUGUUGCCAGGGACGGUGGAACGACUAAGGGGCAAGGGGCAGGCUUGAGUAAAAGGGCAUUCGAAAAAUAAUUCGCAGCUACUAACAAUUCGUUCGUAACCAUCAUUUUGUUUCGAUCUCAAUCAGGGGCGGCGCCGCUAUCUUUAUCAGCUUCACCCAUUCGUUACCUACCCCACUAUUUUUGGGCUGGCCGUCAUGAAUAAGGCAGUACCGUCAAAAACCUCUGUGAAAAGGGCACUUUGGCUACCCCUGCCCCUUCUGUCAAAAGCGACAAGGGCGGUUGACUCCCGCGCCCCUUUUUGGCGACACUGUAUGUCGCAGAUGGGUUUCAUUCUACAAUCGACUGCAUGCUAAAGACUGUAUGCUAAAGAAAAAAUGCGUCAAGAAAGACAAUUUAUUGCUAAAUUUAGGCUUAUAAUAUUGGAUUCAUUUGCAUUGAAUUGCUUUUGAUUUGUGCUGUUCCUACCUAUCAUUCAUACUUGUUGCUCUAGCUCUUGAUUUCCUCAGUAAGAUUCCAUGUUUAUCUUAUCUGUAUUAGCAUGGUUAUUACAACGGCAAUUACACUGGUGCAGUUUACAUAGACCUAAGUAAAGCUUUUGAUACCAUCAGCCAUUCUAUCCUGGUCGACACUCUACCUGAAUAUGGCAUCUUAGGGAAGGCUCGAGAUGUGGAUGUGCGAUUACCUGUUCUCAACAUCAGAACAGGUCUCGUUUCGAGGAAAAAUCUCAUCUGCGGAAAACACGGAGGAAAAUUGUAAUAUGCAAAAAUGGUGGCCAAAUAUCACGUGCAAUGUGUUGCUGCGCUGCGAUGCGUAGAGACGACACAAGAAAUGCAAGAUUAUUACUACAAAAAAAAUCCUCUACUUUGGUUUGGCAUAUUAUUUCUAUUAAUCAAAAUUAAUAGAACCUUCAGUACAUCAACAGAAGCAAGAAUUAUUAAUUUUUUGACACUAGUCAAUAUAACCAACAGCUUCAACUACUUACUGCUUCAAAGCUGAAAAGACAACAUCACUGGCCUAUAACAAUGCAGUGAACAUCAUACUUUUUAAAUGAGUUUUAUCUUGAAAACAAGGCUUGGCCACAUGGGGUAGAAAAAUAUGGUAGGCACAGUUUUUCUUCAGCUUUAAACUGGUAUAAGUGGUUUCUUCUAAAAAUGUUUUCCUAGAAGUGCGAGAAGUUACGCUGAAAAAUGAUACUUUUUAAACAAGUUGAAUCUUGAAAAAAAGACUUGGCCACAUAGGGUAGCGAAAUAUGGUAAGCACUUUUUUCCUUCAGCUUUAAACUGGUAUAAGUGGUUUCUUUCUAAAAAUGUUUUCCUAGAAACACGAAAAGUUUUAUUAUCACGCAGUUUUGUUUUACUUAUAUUUGAAGGGAAUCUCCCAAAAUCAAUUGAAUACCAGCUACCAGGGUGUACAAGCACCGCGGAGCGUUGCGAAAAGUGGGGGAUCUAAAAAAGUGCGAUGGCUAAAACCGAGUAAAAAAGGCUUUUAUGGUGGUGGUUCACUUCUAAAUAUUUUGUCUGGGGGUAAAAACAGAUUUAUAGGUCAAACGGACCUUAAUCUAACACGACAUAACAUGCCAGCCAAUCAAUGAUAUUGGUGGAUUUUCAAGAAAUUUCCGAGCUCUUGCCUUUUCCAAAUUUCAAUGGUUUCUUAAUCUUUUUCAGUACUGAAGUUUCUCAACAUUUUCUGACUGCCCAGUACUCGUUUCAUAUAAAGAGGUUCUUUUAAAAAAUGAAAGUAAAAAGGGAAGCAAGGCUUAUAGGUAUAGGGGUGCCGUCAUAGAAGGUUACAAUAUACUACAUAUCAACUGCAAUGGAAUAAGGUUACUUCCCUGUAUACUGGUGUUGAAAUAUGUCUUGAAAAAUGAUUCCAGGUAUUCGCAGAAUUCUAAAAAGUUGUUGCUGUCGCAUAGAGAAAUAACAGCACCAUUUGUGUAAUGAUAGUGGCUAUCCGGUAGGCAAAUGGUGUUGUUUUGGAUGCACAAUGCUACAGACUUGUCGCUUGGGCAAAUCAAUACACAUGCCAAAAUAGGGGCUGAAUCGCGAAGAGCCAACAGAUGUGUUGCCAGAUUGCUGACAUCAACAAUGCGUACGAUACAGUCUGGCAUGUACACCUGUAACUCGGAGUAUUGGAUAACCUCCUCGACCGGUAAUAGGAGCUGCUGCGCCCUAUACACUAAUAAUUUCAUAGAGCUUGUUUCCCUUCGUCAUUUUUUUCUUGUAAAUUUUGACAAUUACUGGAACAAAUGUUAAAGCAUCUCCCUAAAGAAGAAUCUCACCACGGAGAACAGAAGAACAGGCGAUUGUGGGGAUAACUGUACACAAGGAAAUUUGUUCUCCCCAUCCCAGAAGUCCAGACUGACUCAACUGACUUGGCAGCAAAUACUCAACAAAAUUGCCAACCACCCGCGCCUUCACUUCCUCCUCUUUAAAUCCUUUUUCUUUGCCAUUUGUCGUCGCAUGCCGUUUGCAUCUGCAUGAAUAAUCUUUCCCUUCUGCACUACAUAAAUUUUUCGUACACCUCGGACAAGAUCCGGCUCUUCCUCUUCUAUGUCCACGAUCGAGAUGAAUGCAUUUUUUGCAAUACAGCGGCUUUGAUUUUGGGACCUUAGAAUUGCAGUUGGCCGUUCUUUCUUGACCCUGAAAAUUGAUAUUUUUUAAAUUAAAGUUACAAUGAAUGGCCUGAGGCGAUAGACUGGAACUUUAGGUAAUUAACAGCUUGACAAGUACUGAGGUCUGGACCCUAGUCAGGACUUCAAUCACAUGACCCCCCACGUUGUAAACAGGCCCAAGUAUUGCUUUCACGCUUUCGUUUCGUUCAUUACUCAGCAGUAAUUUCAUUCGACAUAAAUAUAUUAUCUUGGGAUUGUUUUGUCUAUAGUAUCAUAUGUUUUGUAUACAGUUGGAACAUGUUUGUCUCUUUCUGUAUUUCACACAGCUAACUUCUUUUCCGGCAUGCCCCUAUACCCUGUGAGGGACAUCGAUCAAUGAGAACCUUAACUGUCAUGGAAAAAACAAAAUUUUAUUGGAUAACGAUCAAAUCUAUUUUGGGCACAACAAAAACCACUUGGAGUAUUUCUAGGUAAAAUAUACUUAAUAAAGUAGGUAUGUAAAAAGACUAAAUGUUCCAGCAACAAACAAUUUAGAAAACUUGCAACUUCCAAGGGCAUGGUCUUGGUUUAUCUAUUUAUACUCGAAGAUGCUAAAAUUUGUUGCAACUCACAUUAGUUGCAUUAUAUGGCUUCAAAUUGGCAAUGGUAUCCUCUUUCUCCUCUGCAAUCUCAUGAUUAUCAUCACUAUCCUGCUCCAUGUUUAUUGUUUCAAAUAUACUGUUUUGAGCAGUAGUCGCCAGAUUGCCAACUGUGGUUUUUAUGUGGCUUGAACAAAUUGGACAGAAUGAUGCACCUUUGAGACAUUUUAUACGGAACAAAUGGAAACAUCCUUCUAUCAAUUGCCACUCUUCACUGGUAUUUAGCAACGUACAGCCAGGCAUAUUACAGCAAAUGAAUGGAUCUGGUUGACUGUUUGUGUGGUAUCCGAAAGGAAAAGUAUUUGGAAAGUUGGUUGAGAGAUAGCGCAACAUAUUGCCAAGAGGAGAAUUAUCCAAGUCAGAAUCAUGAGUUUGAGACUCUGCAACUGAUUUUGGCUGAAUAUGUAGUUCUUAGGUAAAGUGAAGUUGGAGCGAGCAUUAUGCUGAGAUCUUUUUGAUUGGAAAACUGCUUUGGCUUUUUUCUGAAGCAUCGAAGCAUCAUCACCAUCAACAGUUUGGGCUCUAAUGAUAGAGUGAGUGUUUUCAACAGGGUAUUCGUCAGUAGUUGUAAUAUGCGUCUGUAAAAAUCGAUAUAAAUCUCGAUUGCUUUUUUUCCAAAUUAGAACGUUUGAGAGCCAUACGAGUGGUGCUUUGUUUUAAUGAUGUCGGCGAAAACAGUAGAACAAGACCCAGACAGAAAUCAUUGAAGAUAAGUACAUGGCAAAUGAGUUCAAUCGAAAAACAACGCUUUAAAUAGAGGAUACUGGUGGAAUGUAAUUGUCAAGGAGGUUGAGAAGUAUACCAUGCAAGGGAUGUUUGCAUUUGCGAAAAGAUUUUUUGAUAAAAGGACGAAUUAAAGUCCAGCCACCCUAGACAACUUCUAGGAGCAAUGAUGUUCUCCAUGGCUUUGGCUUAUCUGCUAACUUUUGUUUUGGAAAAAGACUUUCAUAGAUAUAUUUGAAGAAUGAAUGUAAGUUUUGCAUCAAAGUUUCUUUAAAAUUUAAAGAAACGUGAAGAGGACCUAACAUUGGAACAGCAGCCUGCAAAGGAUCGGUAAACUGUCUAUCAGAUGGAUCGGUAAGUCAUCACUUGUUCUUGGCUUUGCGUAAUGAUGGAGCCCUUCGUUUUCCCAGACAGGAGUGUUUGUGUUUUGAUUUGCAUAUCUUUCUCGACAAUUAACAGGAGGCUGGAAGGGACAUCUAGAAUAAGCAACUUUUCUUACGUGGAACUGAGCAGGCCAAUCUCCAGGGAUGAUCAAUGCAUAUUUUGUCAUGUACUGCCUCAUUUUUGUUCUUCCAAGUUCCAAGAAUUUCCAAAGCCAUUCUUAAAAGUCUGAAAUACUUUUCAGCUGAUGAAUGGUAAAUUCGAUCAAAUGAACGUUAUCAAGGCAUCUCAUCUUCCUCACAUUGUUUGACUCGCUAUACAUAUGAGCAUGAAGUCUAUUACGUUCUGCCUCUGGACUAAAGAAUUCUGUUGCAAACCAUUCUGGCAUUCGAUCGCAGAAAGUCAUUGCCAAGUUGUGCAUUGUCUGUUCACUGGAUAGUUCAUUUUGAAGAUUACAGACAUGGACACCUGAUGGGAUUUGAGGAGAAUUGAAUGACGUUAAAGGUGUAGCCACAAAUCUUCAAAGCAGUGCUACAGGGGAAUUUCCAACACACACCUAAGCCCAAAACCCAGGAACCACAGCAAAAAUCACAACUGGCUUUGGGCUUAAAUGAUGCGGUUUGCUACAAUAAAAUAUAGCAAAUCAACUCUAAAUCAACUUCAAAUCGACAAAAUAUAAAUGAAACGAUUAAGAAACUUACAAUAAUGCAUAUACAAAGAAUAACGAAGAAACUGAUACAAAUUACGAAGAAACUAAUAGAACAAGGUUACUGUUACUUACAAACUUUAUUUCCUUGUAGCUUUAAAGGCUCAGCAAACACAUAACCAAAACCACAGCAUGCUGCCAAAAAUACUUUUAUCCCGGUCUACUUUCGUUUCUUAUCCUUGUCUCUAACAGCCCCGAAAACAAGGCGUGCUUCGCUUUUAUAGCUACAAACAUGAAACCGAGGCUAAAUCCAACUACACUACGUGUCAC
This is a non-coding RNA of Rhopilema esculentum, 23884 nucleotides long. NCBI's taxonomy places the organism in Eukaryota, Metazoa, Cnidaria, Scyphozoa, Rhizostomeae, Rhizostomatidae. The record is from RefSeq and is a predicted model, not a curated record.